AGGGGAAUGUCGUCCGGUGGCGGCCCCGGUCUUCAAAAUCGGUGAGGGGGCGUUAGGCGUUUCCUGGCGGGUUCGACUCCCACUCUCCUCC
This 91-nucleotide transfer RNA is filed under the name marine eukaryotic metagenome. Its description in RNAcentral is "Selenocysteine transfer RNA". It matches the Rfam family "Selenocysteine transfer RNA". The record is from RNAcentral.